GACGAACGCUGGCGGCGUGCCUAAUACAUGCAAGUAGAACGCACAGUUUAUACCGUAGCUUGCUCCAACAUAGACUGUGAGUUGCGAACGGGUGAGUAACGCGCAGGUAACCUGCCUGGUAGCGGGGGAUAACUAUUGGUAACGAUCGCUAUUACUGCCUAAUAUUAAUUAUUGCAUGAUAAUUAAUUGAAAGGAUCAAUUGCACCACUACCAGAUGGUCCUGCGUUGUAUUAGCUAGUAGGUGAGGUAACGGCUCACCUAGGCGACGAUACAUAGCCGACCUGAGAGGGUGAUCGGCCACACUGGGACUGAGGCACAGCCCAGUCUUCUACGGGAGGCAGCAGUAGGGAAUCUUCGGCUAUGGACGAAAAUCUGAACGAGCAACGGCACGUGAGAGAAGAAGGUUUUCGGAUCGUAAAGCUCUGUUAUAAGAGAAGAACGGGUGUGAGAGUGGAAAGUUCACACUGUGACGGUAUCUUACCAGAAAGGGACGGCUAACUACGUG
RNAcentral lists this ribosomal RNA (505 nucleotides) under uncultured bacterium. Its description in RNAcentral is "partial 16S ribosomal RNA". It matches the Rfam family "Bacterial small subunit ribosomal RNA", at positions 28 to 507 of the family's 1533-position model. The record is from RNAcentral.